This 34-nucleotide ribosomal RNA is filed under the name Loropetalum subcordatum. RNAcentral describes it as "partial 25S rRNA". The record is from RNAcentral. Lineage: Eukaryota; Viridiplantae; Streptophyta; Magnoliopsida; Saxifragales; Hamamelidaceae.
UUCCAUCGCGACCCCAGGUCAGGCGGGAUUACCC